Molecule: ribosomal RNA, 251 nt
Filed under: uncultured bacterium
Lineage: Bacteria
Description: partial 16S ribosomal RNA
Rfam family: Bacterial small subunit ribosomal RNA
Source: RNAcentral
AUCUGCCUACGGGACGCAGCAGUGGGGAAUAUUGCACAAUGGGCGCAAGCCUGAUGCAGCGACGCCGCGUGCGGGAUGGAGGCCUUCGGGUUGUAAACCGCUUUUGUUCAAGGGCAAGGCACGGUCUUUGGCCGUGUUGAGGGGAUUGUUCGAAUAAGCACCGGCUAACUACGUGCCAGCAGCCGCGGUAAUACGUAGGGUGCAAGCGUUAUCCGGAUUUAUUGGGCGUAGAUGGCUCGUAGGCGGUUCGU